Molecule: ribosomal RNA, 1394 nt
Filed under: uncultured bacterium
Lineage: Bacteria
Description: 16S ribosomal RNA
Rfam family: Bacterial small subunit ribosomal RNA
Source: RNAcentral
UUCGCCCUUAGAGUUUGAUCCUGGCUCAGGAUGAACGCUGGCGGCGUGCUUAACACAUGCAAGUCGAGCGAAGCACUUUAGUUGAUCCUUCGGGUGAUUCUACUGUGACUGAGCGGCGGACGGGUGAGUAACGCGUGGGUAACCUGCCUCAUACAGGGGGAUAACAGUUGGAAACGACUGCUAAUACCGCAUAAGCGCACAGCAUCGCAUGAUGCAGUGUGAAAAACUCCGGUGGUAUGAGAUGGACCCGCGUUAGAUUAGCUGGUUGGUGGGGUAACGGCCUACCAAGGCGACGAUCUAUAGCCGGACUGAGAGGUCGAACGGCCACAUUGGGACUGAGACACGGCCCAAACUCCUACGGGAGGCAGCAGUGGGGAAUAUUGCACAAUGGGGGAAACCCUGAUGCAGCGACGCCGCGUGAGUGAAGAAGUAUUUCGGUAUGUAAAGCUCUAUCAGCAGGGAAGAUAAUGACGGUACCUGACUAAGAAGCCCCGGCUAACUACGUGCCAGCAGCCGCGGUAAUACGUAGGGGGCAAGCGUUAUCCGGAUUUACUGGGUGUAAAGGGAGCGUAGACGGUAAAGCAAGUCUGAAGUGAAAUCAUAGGGCUCAACCCUGUAAUUGCUUUGGAAACUGUUUAACUAGAGUACCGGAGGGGCAGGCGGAAUUCCUGGUGUAGCGGUGAAAUGCGUAGAUAUCAGGAAGAACACCGGUGGCGAAGGCGGCCUGCUGGACGGUAACUGACGUUGAGGCUCGAAAGCGUGGGGAGCAAACAGGAUUAGAUACCCUGGUAGUCCACGCUGUAAACGAUGAUUAACUAGGUGUUGGAGAGUAAGACUCUUCGGUGCCGCCGCAAACGCAUUAAGUAAUCCACCUGGGGAGUACGUUCGCAAGAAUGAAACUCAAAAGGAAUUGACGGGGACCCGCACAAGCAGUGGAGUAUGUGGUUUAAUUCGAAGCAACGCGAAGAACCUUACCAGGUCUUGACAUCGUAUGCAUAUCUAAGAGAUUAGAGAAAUCCCUUCGGGGACAUAUAGACAGGUGGUGCAUGGUUGUCGUCAGCUCGUGUCGUGAGAUGUUGGGUUAAGUCCCGCAACGAGCGCAACCCUUACCUUUAGUUGCUACGCAAGAGCACUCUAAAGGGACUGCCGUUGACAAAACGGAGGAAGGUGGGGAUGACGUCAAAUCAUCAUGCCCCUUAUGACCUGGGCUACACACGUACUACAAUGGCGAUCAACAAAGAGAAGCAAGACAGUGAUGUGGAGCGAAUCUCAAAAAAUCGUCCCAGUUCAGAUUGCAGGCUGCAACUCGCCUGCAUGAAGUCGGAAUUGCUAGUAAUCGUGGAUCAGCAUGCCACGGUGAAUACGUUCCCGGGCCUUGCACACACCGCCCGUCA